UACAGAGGGUGCAAGCGUUAAUCGGAAUUACUGGGCGUAAAGCGUGCGUAGACGGUUAUUUAAGUCAGGUGUGAAAUCCCCGGGCUCAACCUGGGAACUGCAUCCGAGACUGCAUUGCUAGAGUAUGGGAGAGGAAAGCGGAAUUUCUGGUGUAGCAGUGAAAUGCGUAGAUAUCAGAAGGAACAUCAGUGGCGAAGGCAGCUUUCUGGACCAAUACUGACGAUCAGGUGCGAAAGCGUGGGUAGCAAACAGG
RNAcentral lists this ribosomal RNA (253 nucleotides) under uncultured bacterium. Its description in RNAcentral is "partial 16S ribosomal RNA". It matches the Rfam family "Bacterial small subunit ribosomal RNA", at positions 524 to 776 of the family's 1533-position model. The record is from RNAcentral.